Molecule: long non-coding RNA, 655 nt
Filed under: Triticum aestivum (bread wheat)
Lineage: Eukaryota; Viridiplantae; Streptophyta; Magnoliopsida; Poales; Poaceae
Description: long non-coding RNA (TAES_LNC007006)
Source: RNAcentral
GAGAUUAAGAGCAGGCCCAUGUGUUUUAUGCACCGUUGUCUUCAACCGACUCCAAACGGUGCCCUCUUUCAGCAAUCCAUUCAAUAGAGUGAUCAACAGCUCAACACCAACAAUCCUAGAAAGCAAACACAAUUUUCGUCUUAGCCACACAAUAAUAAUACAUUGCAUCAUAAACCAUACGAAGAAGAGUCGAAAAAUGGCACCUGUUUCUAGAAGACAGUACGUCCAGGUUAGCAAGAGUUAUGCACACUUUGGACCCAUAGCUACCAGGCAGAGCGAGCAUCCCUGCAAAAUAGACCACAAAAAGGAAAAUGAACAGAUAUAUUAAUGUGCCUGUUCUAACCCAGAACAAUCUAGUGUAGAAAUACAUACCGUCUUGCAUUUUGAGAGUACAUCCCAUGACCAGAGCAAUUACCGGCAAAAUGUUUUAUCCCACGAAAUAUUGCUAAUAGAAGCAGUCACAUAACUAAACACUAAUGAAGCGUGAUGGAUAAAGUAACACCACGAAUCUCAAAAACUUCUCGUCCACCAUAAGCAAAUACUUAGAACUCUGAAAAUGUAUGACGACAGUAUGUGAUAUUCCCGGAUACCCGUGGUCAUCAGGUGAUUUAGCAUAACAAGCACACAUAAUCAGAAGUUAGUAUAUUAAUCUUGA